UGUGCCUGGCGUUGGCUGCCAUGCCUGGCCCCUGCAUGCCCCUGCCCUGUACCUGGCCUCAGCACGCUUCCCAUGAGCAGGAUUGUUAGGGAGCACCCAAGGGGAGUUUCCAGAAGCAUUGAACCAAACGGUCCUUUGUUCACGACUCAGAAAUGCUUCACCUCCCUUGGGGACGCUCCCGAGGCUGCCCGGGAAGUCGUGUUGGCCCCACCGCUUCUGCAAGGAUGAGAGCACACGUGGUCAGCAGCACAAUUCCAGCAGGAAGAUGUCAAAGCAUUCAACAAAAUCUCAGAUGUGAGCACCGGGGAUUACCAGGACUUUCAGAUUCACAUUCGUUUUCAUAAUGUGCUUCAUUUUCUGAGAAUUCUGUGGCAUUUUGGCCUCUGCCAUGAGGAAUACAUUCCCGUUCUGACAAUUCAGAAUUGGCUCUUUGUAGUGUUUGUCCUUGGGGAAGAAUGAAUUGUUGGAGAAGGUGUUUGAAUGACCUUGUGCUUCGGGGCUCAUCGAGAACCAUCCGCACAAUCCGUCUGGGCAUCAGCCUCUUU
RNAcentral lists this long non-coding RNA (545 nucleotides) under Homo sapiens (human). Its description in RNAcentral is "HSALNT0026139". Lineage: Eukaryota; Metazoa; Chordata; Mammalia; Primates; Hominidae. The record is from RNAcentral.